AUGUACCCCCGUACACUCCGGUUUCUCCUGCCGUCCGCACCCAACUGACAGCUGCUCGCGACGUUAUUAGCC
Molecule: small RNA, 72 nt
Filed under: Xanthomonas campestris
Lineage: Bacteria; Pseudomonadati; Pseudomonadota; Gammaproteobacteria; Lysobacterales; Lysobacteraceae
Description: sX9 sRNA
Rfam family: Xanthomonas sRNA sX9
Source: RNAcentral